AAGAGUUUAGUUUAUUUAAAAAUGUUAGAUUGUAAAUCUAAAGUAUCGUACUCUUG
RNAcentral lists this transfer RNA (56 nucleotides) under Heterorhabditis bacteriophora. RNAcentral describes it as "tRNA-Tyr". The record is from RNAcentral. Lineage: Eukaryota; Metazoa; Nematoda; Chromadorea; Rhabditida; Heterorhabditidae. RNAcentral also lists the same sequence under 1 other name.